Molecule: transfer RNA, 76 nt
Filed under: Verrucomicrobia bacterium Tous-C9LFEB
Lineage: Bacteria; Pseudomonadati; Verrucomicrobiota
Description: tRNA-Cys
Rfam family: tRNA
About the family: Transfer RNA (tRNA) molecules are approximately 80 nucleotides in length. Their secondary structure includes four short double-helical elements and three loops (D, anti-codon, and T loops).
Source: RNAcentral
GGUGGGGUAGCCAAGUGGCUAAGGCACAGCCCUGCAAAGGCUGCACACGCUGGUUCGAUUCCAGCCCUCACCUCCC